GCCGCGUGAGGGAUGACGGCCUUCGGGUUGUAAACCUCUUUCAGCAGGGAAGAAGCGAAAGUGACGGUACCUGCAGAAGAAGCACCGGCUAACUACGUGCCAGCAGCCGCGGUAAUACGUAGGGUGCGAGCGUUGUCCGGAAUUAUUGGGCGUAAAGAGCUUGUAGGCGGUUUGUCGCGUCUGCUGUGAAAAUCCGGGGCUCAACCCCGGACUUGCAGUGGGUACGGGCAGACUAGAGUGUGGUAGGGGAGACUGGAAUUCCUGGUGUAGCGGUGAAAUGCGCAGAUAUCAGGAGGAACACCGAUGGCGAAGGCAGGUCUCUGGGCCACUACUGACGCUGAGAAGCGAAAGCAUGGGGAGCGAACAGGAUUAGAUACCCUGGUAGUCCAUGCCGUAAACGUUGGGCGCUAGGUGUGGGACUCAUUCCACGAGUUCCGUGCCGCAGCUAACGCAUUAAGCGCCCCGCCUGGGGAGUACGGCCGCAAGGCUAAAACUCAAAGGAAUUGACGGGGGCCCGCACAAGCGGCGGAGCAUGCGGAUUAAUUCGAUGCAACGCGAAGAACCUUACCAAGGCUUGACAUAUACCGGAAACAUCCAGAGAUGGGUGCCCCUUUUGGUCGGUAUACAGGUGGUGCAUGGUUGUCGUCAGCUCGUGUCGUGAGAUGUUGGGUUAAGUCCCGCAACGAGCGCAACCCUCGUUCUAUGUUGCCAGCACGUGAUGGUGGGGACUCAUAGGAGACUGC
RNAcentral lists this ribosomal RNA (743 nucleotides) under Janibacter terrae. Its description in RNAcentral is "bacterial SSU rRNA". It matches the Rfam family "Bacterial small subunit ribosomal RNA", at positions 396 to 1152 of the family's 1533-position model. Lineage: Bacteria; Bacillati; Actinomycetota; Actinomycetes; Micrococcales; Intrasporangiaceae. The record is from RNAcentral.